UGCGUAGGCGGGCAAUUAAGUCGGAGGUGAAAUCCCACAGCUCAACUGUGGAACUGCCUUUGAUACUGGUUGUCUUGAGUUACAGUGAAGUAGAUAGAAUAUGUAGUGUAGCGGUGAAAUGCAUAGAUAUUACAUAGAAUACCGAUUGCGAAGGCAGUCUACUAACUGUAUACUGACGCUAAUGGACGAAAGCGUGGGGAGCGAACAGGAUUAGAUACCCUGGUAGUC
This 228-nucleotide ribosomal RNA is filed under the name uncultured bacterium. RNAcentral describes it as "partial 16S ribosomal RNA". It matches the Rfam family "Bacterial small subunit ribosomal RNA", at positions 568 to 795 of the family's 1533-position model. The record is from RNAcentral.